GGGUUUCUUGUUGAAAUUGUUGAGUAUUAGUUGUCAAACUUUCAACAAUAUCUUCUAAAGUCAUACCUGAGUUUGAUGCAGAUGCUUAUUACUACUGAAUUUGUUUAGGCUAAUAGCUUUAACAAUUUUGUUGCUUAUAGCUAAAAUUCGGGUGGUUUCUCCAUUCUAUUAUACGUAUUUGAGAAAGGACCAUACAUCCUUUGUGGAGGACCUGAGAAUUCAUUGACAGCAUUCACAUGUUGAUCGUCUUCUUG
Molecule: long non-coding RNA, 254 nt
Filed under: Manihot esculenta (cassava)
Lineage: Eukaryota; Viridiplantae; Streptophyta; Magnoliopsida; Malpighiales; Euphorbiaceae
Description: long non-coding RNA (MESC_LNC007290)
Source: RNAcentral